Molecule: ribosomal RNA, 497 nt
Filed under: uncultured bacterium
Lineage: Bacteria
Description: partial 16S ribosomal RNA
Rfam family: Bacterial small subunit ribosomal RNA
Source: RNAcentral
GAUGAACGCUGGCGGCGUGCCUAAUACAUGCAAGUCGAGCGAACGGACGAGAAGCUUGCUUCUCUGAUGUUAGCGGCGGACGGGUGAGUAACACGUGGAUCACCUACCUCUAUGACUGGGAUAACUUCGGGAAACCGGAGCUAAUACCGGCUAAUAUUUUGAACCGCAUGGUUCAAAAGUGAAAGACGGUCUUGCUGUCACUUAUAGCUGGAUCCGCGCUGCAUUAGCUAGUUGGUAAGGUAACGGCUUACCAAGGCAACGAUGCAUAGCCGACCUGAGAGGGUGAUCGGCCACACUGGAACUGAGACACGGUCCAGACUCCUACGGGAGGCAGCAGUAGGGAAUCUUCCGCAAUGGGCGAAAGCCUGACGGAGCAACGCCGCGUGAGUGAUGAAGGUCUUCGGAUCGUAAAACUCUGUUAUUAGGGAAGAACAGAUGUGUAAGUAACUGUGCACAUCUUGACGGUACCUAAUCAGAAAGCCACGGCUAACUACGUG